Molecule: non-coding RNA, 287 nt
Organism: Schizosaccharomyces pombe (fission yeast)
Lineage: Eukaryota; Fungi; Ascomycota; Schizosaccharomycetes; Schizosaccharomycetales; Schizosaccharomycetaceae
Source: the annotation of a GenBank genome assembly
CAUCAACCGAUAAACUACUACAUCUUUCUUUUGGCCCAGUCUCCAAGCACGUUCACGUGCUUGAGCAUCCGUUGAGGGAUUCCAAUCAGGAUCAAAAAGAAUUACCCUGUCAGCACCAGUCAAAUUGACUCCUAAUCCACCAACACGAGUAGUUAGAAGAAACACAUCAAAAUACUCAUUUUUAUUAAAGUUGUCCACCAAAUCUUGUCUUAAAGCAAUAGAUGUGCUACCAUCCAUGCGACAGUAAUGAACAUCCGGCAAAUCCUUUAAUCCUAUUUCCAGUAUGU